ACGCGGUAGAGGAGCGUCGUGUAAGCCGAUGAAGGUGUGUUGAGAAGCAUGCUGGAGGUAUCACGAGUGCGAAUGCUGACAUGAGUAACGACAAGGGGAGUGAAAAACUCCCCCGCCGGAAGACCAAGGGUUUCUGUUCGACGCUAAUCGGAGCAGAGUGAGUCGGCCCCUAAGGCGAGGCCGAAAGGCGUAGUCGAUGGGAAACGGGUCAAUAUUCCCGUACCUCACAGUAUUGCGAUGGGGGGACGAAGAAGGCUAGGUGAGCCAGGCGUUGGUUGUCCUGGUGAAAGCCGGUAGGCUGAGGAUUCAGGUAAAUCCGGAUCCUCAAGGCCGAGAGGCGAGACGAACUGACUACGGUCAGGAAGUCAUCGAUGCCACGCUUCCAGGAAAAGCCUCUAAGCUUCAGAUACUGUGAGACCGUACCCCAAACCGACACAGGUGGUCAGGUAGAGAAUACCAAGGCGCUUGAGAGAACUCGGGUGAAGGAACUAGGCAAAAUGGUGCCGUAACUUCGGGAGAAGGCACGCCGCAUUAGGGUGAAGGUCCUCGCGACCGGAGCCUGACGCGGUCGAAGAUACCAGGUGGCUGCAACUGUUUAUUAAAAACACAGCACUCUGCAAACGCGCAAGCGGACGUAUAGGGUGUGACGCCUGCCCGGUGCCGGAAGGUUAAGUGAUGGUGUUAGCUCACGCGAAGCUCCUGAUCGAAGCCCCGGUAAACGGCGGCCGUAACUAUAACGGUCCUAAGGUAGCGAAAUUCCUUGUCGGGUAAGUUCCGACCUGCACGAAUGGCGUAAUGAUGGCCACGCUGUCUCCACCCGAGACUCAGUGAAAUUGAAAUCGCAGUGAAGAUGCUGUGUACCCGCGGCUAGACGGAAAGACCCCGUGAACCUUUACUACAGCUUCACACUGGACGCUGAUGUUGCUUGUGUAGGAUAGCUGGGAGGCUUUGAAACCCUGUCGCCAGAUGGGGUGGAGCCAACCUUGAAAUACCAGCCUGGCAUCAUUGGCGUUCUAACUCAGGACCGUAAUCCGGUUCGAGGACCGUGUGUGGUGGGUAGUUUGACUGGGGCGGUCUCCUCCCAAAGAGUAACGGAGGAGCACGAAGGUACCCUCAGCACGGUUGGAAAUCGUGCAGUGAGUGCAAGAGCAUAAGGGUGCUUAACUGCGAGACAGACACGUCGAGCAGAUACGAAAGUAGGUUCUAGUGAUCCGGUGGUUCUGUAUGGAAGGGCCAUCGCUCAACGGAUAAAAGGUACUCCGGGGAUAACAGGCUGAUACCGCCCAAGAGUUCACAUCGACGGCGGUGUUUGGCACCUCGAUGUCGGCUCAUCACAUCCUGGGGCUGAAGUCGGUCCCAAGGGUAUGGCUGUUCGCCAUUUAAAGUGGUACGCGAGCUGGGUUUAGAACGUCGUGAGACAGUUCGGUCCCUAUCUGCCGUGGGCGUUGGAGAUUUGAGAAGCGCUGCUCCUAGUACGAGAGGACCGGAGUGGACGUACCUCUGGUGUUCCGGUUGUCACGCCAGUGGCAUUGCCGGGUAGCUAUGUACGGACGGGAUAACCGCUGAAAGCAUCUAAGCGGGAAGCCCCCUUCAAGAUGAGAUCUCCCUGAGGCCUUGAGCCUCCUAAAGGACCCAGCAAGACCAGCUGGUUGAUAGGCCGGGUGUGGAAGCGCUGCAAGGCGUUGAGCUAACCGGUACUAAUGGUCCGUGAGGCUUGACCAU
Molecule: ribosomal RNA, 1722 nt
Filed under: Halomonas sp. DP5N14-9
Lineage: Bacteria; Pseudomonadati; Pseudomonadota; Gammaproteobacteria; Oceanospirillales; Halomonadaceae
Description: partial 23S ribosomal RNA
Rfam family: Bacterial large subunit ribosomal RNA
Source: RNAcentral